This is a small nuclear RNA of Mirounga angustirostris (Northern elephant seal), 107 nucleotides long. The record is from RefSeq and is a predicted model, not a curated record. NCBI's taxonomy places the organism in Eukaryota, Metazoa, Chordata, Mammalia, Carnivora, Phocidae.
GCCUUCUGUGCUCGCCUGGGCAGCACGUGAAACAGGACGGCACAGAGCAGAUGAGCGUGGCCCCUGCACAAGAUGACAGGCAAAGUCAUGAAGCAUUCCAUGUUUUG